This 460-nucleotide ribosomal RNA is filed under the name uncultured bacterium. RNAcentral's name for it is "partial 16S ribosomal RNA". It matches the Rfam family "Bacterial small subunit ribosomal RNA", at positions 338 to 795 of the family's 1533-position model. The record is from RNAcentral.
CCUACGGGAGGCAGCAGUGAGGAAUAUUGGUCAAUGGACGCAAGUCUGAACCAGCCAUGCCGCGUGCAGGAAGACGGCUCUAUGAGUUGUAAACUGCGUUUGUACGAGGGUAAACGCAGAUACGCGUAUCUGUCUGACAGGAUCGUACGAAUAAGGAACGGCUAACUCCGUGCCAGCAGCCGCGGUAAUACGGAGGAUUCAAGCGUUAUCCGGUUUUAUUGGGUUUAAAGGGUGCGUAGGCGGUCGGAUAAGUUAGAGGUGAAAUCCCGAGGCUCAACUUCGGAAUUGCCUUUGAUACUGUUCGGCUAGAGAGUAGUUGCGGUAGGCGGAAUGUAUGGUGUAGCGGUGAAAUGCUUAGAGAUCAGACAGAACACCGGUUGCGAAGGCAGCUUACUGAGCUACUUCUGACGUUGAGGCACGAAAGCGUGGGGAGCAAACAGGAUUAGAUACCCCAGUAGUC